Acinonyx jubatus (cheetah) is the source of this 2202-nucleotide long non-coding RNA. RefSeq lists it as uncharacterized. Lineage: Eukaryota; Metazoa; Chordata; Mammalia; Carnivora; Felidae. The transcript has 2 exons. The record is from RefSeq and is a predicted model, not a curated record.
GAGAGAGAGUGAGAGCAUGUGCUCAUGAGUGGGGGAGGGGCAGAGAGAGAGGGAGAGAGAGAAUCCCAAGCUGGCUUCUCACUGUCAGUGCAGAGCCUGACAUGGGGCUCGAACCCACAAACCGUGAGAUCAUGACCUGAGCUGAAAUCAAGAGUUGGAUACUCAACAGACUAAGCCACCACCCAGGCACCCCUAUCUGCCUCUCGAUUCUGAGGAUGGGCUGGUUCUUGCAAGUUGGGGACAAUCUCCUGCCCCACUUGGACUUUCUCAGCUGUUCUCAGGUGGCCCUCUCCAGGAGGGUCAAUGGUCAAAGUACAAUGUAGGUAUUUCCUGGUCAGGACUCCUCCCGGAGAUAAUGCCUGUCACAGGAGGGGUGCCAACGAGGACUGAAGAAGGAUAGCCACAACAUCCUGCCACGAGUUGUUUACAGCCCACGAGAAGCCAUGAAGAAAAAAAAAACACAGCUAUUGAAGCAUUCAUUGAAGGAAAUAGAGGUGGGGCAAACUGUAGAACUGAACAAGGCCUGGGAGAAUGAGGCCGUGGCUGUGACUGCCACGUGAGGGGAAAGUUCUUAUACUGUAAGUGUUGGCUGGAGACUUCCUGCCAGUCUUAGGACUCUGCCUUUGAAAUGAAUUGAUCAGUGAUGGGGCCUGCCUCCUGAGGAUGCUAUACCACCAACCUGCCAUUGCUUCUCCAAAGAGGGUCAGCAAGGAUCCCAAGAGUCUAGGACUCCAAAGGGGGUUGCAACUGUGAAGCCUGGGUAUGGGGGGGGGGGGGGGGGCUCAGGGAAAGACUAGCCAUCUAAUUUGGAAUAACUGAGUUUUGUCCCAGUGCUGUCCUAGAGGCCCAGGACAUGGAGGGCUGUGCAGAUGAUAAGAGAGCAUAAGGCAAGCUGAGGGCAAAGUACAAGCUAACAACACCCUCCCCAUCCCCCCGCCCCCCAGGUGAAAUAAGGGUGACAUUCCUUUGGCACUCCUGGCUGCCCAAGAACAAAGAAAAGGAUAAAAAAACAAAUGGUUGAACUGAUAGAGAUCACAGGACAUGAGUCUCUAUCACUUUACAAAUAUCUUAGUAAAUUACAAGGAAAAAGCAAGCUUAUCAAUAGCCUAAUCUCCAGAAACCUAUAGCCCCAACAUCAUCCUCCCCUCCAUAGUGAUGUGGGGAACAAAGGCAAGAAGGAAAUGGAAGGUAAAAUUAAAUUUCCUUAUAACCUGCAGCCCAUUGACAAAUACUUGAGGCAAAUACAGAGUAUAACAUUUCUCCAGGAACUCUUAAUGUUAAUGUUUUGCUAGAGGGAAAAACAGCCUUAGCUUGACAAUAUCUAGGCCUCCAGUAAUCUGUGAGUCUUCCUUAGCAUGUGGAAAUCCCUUUAAGAAACUUCCUCUUGAUUUUAUCUCCUCCAACUCCAUAGUAUAUAACUAGUCACUCUUCAUAACCCCAGUGCAGCUCUUUCUGCCCAGGGGUCCUGUCCCUGCGCUUUAAUAAAACCACCUCUUUGCACCAAAGACCUCUUGAGAAUUCUUUCUUGGCCAUCAGCUCCAGACCCCCACCACUCCUGAACAACCACACCAUUUGGCAACCAAUGUGGGGCUUUGAGUCUUUUCAUCAGGACUCAGCUUUGGCGCAAACUUGGAGGUUCAGGCAUGUUGUCCACAUUGGAUUCAGCUGCCUCCGCCUUCGUAACUUCUCUACACCUUCCCCGACUGACCAAUAUUGACCCAUAGGUAGGGACAACUCUACACCCCUACUCAGCAGGAAGAAGCUGCGGAAGAUGAGACCUUCCACCUUCAGCAACUGUAAAGACUUAAGGGUCAAAAUUAUGCAGGGGGGAUAUGAUGAGGGAGCAUAAGGCAGGCUGAGGGCAAAGCACCCCACCCCAGGUGGGACAGGGGUGAUAUUCCUCAGGUAGUCCUGGCUGCCCCAGAACAAAGGAAAGGACAGAAAACAAAUGGUUGAGCUGAUAGCGAUCACAGGAACUGAGUCUCCAUCCGUUUACAAAUAGCUUAGUAAAUGACAAGAAAAAGGCAAUCUUAUCAAUAGCUUAAUCUCCAGAAGCCUCUAGCCCCAACACCACCCUCCCCUCCGUAGUGAUGUGCGGAACAAAGGCAAGAAGGAAAUGGCAGGUAAAAUUGAAUUUGCUUAUAAUCUGCUGCCCGCGGGACCUAUCCCCGGGCUUUAAUAAAACCACCUUUUUCCACCAAA